RNAcentral lists this transfer RNA (72 nucleotides) under Ictidomys tridecemlineatus (thirteen-lined ground squirrel). Its description in RNAcentral is "Spermophilus tridecemlineatus (thirteen-lined ground squirrel) tRNA". It matches the Rfam family "tRNA". Rfam says of the family: Transfer RNA (tRNA) molecules are approximately 80 nucleotides in length. Their secondary structure includes four short double-helical elements and three loops (D, anti-codon, and T loops). Lineage: Eukaryota; Metazoa; Chordata; Mammalia; Rodentia; Sciuridae. The record is from Rfam by way of RNAcentral.
GGAGAUGUGGCUCGGUGGUAGAGUGCUCACUUAGCAUGUCCAAGGUUCUGGGUUCAAUCCCCAGCACCACCA